GUUGUUGCCUUCGCGGCAAUUGUUUUAUGUGAAAUUUGUCACACUGUCAUGGGCAGCUCCUUCAAAGUUUAGCCGCCAACGCCCACAAAUAUGUGGACCCUCCCAUGAUUGAUGGGCAUCUUGCGUACAAAUUAACACCGGAAUUACUCCUCGUGCACUGCAGGCCAAGUUCGGCGAACUUCCAACGAUUUUCGACUCCACCCCAAACCCAAAAAAAAAAAGACAUAACAAAAAAAGUAACGAAAAAGGAAGAUGCGUUUUGGCCCAUUUCAAAUGAAGCCGACUUUCAAUUAGGCAAAAACUUGGCAGCAAACCAAAAACAAAAGCAAGCUAAUGAGACGACGACUGAGUUUGGCCGGAGGUGCGAUCGUGACUUCGAAUGCGACCAGUGUCAAAGGCGCAGCUGGAUAUUCUGAUUAAUCGCCAUGAGCCAGAUCCUAGCUGCCUUUUAUUAAUUACGAUCCAGCUCCAGAUCGAGUGCGUAUAUGGAUGUGGACAUGGAUGUGGAUGUGGAUAUGGACAUGGAUGUGAAUGUCUCGGGGAGACGCGUGCUCAAGGCGUGAAUACCAUCGUCAACAAGCUAGCACCUCUCGCUCUGAAUUAUUGCUGAAAUAUUUGCUGAUUUAUUGGCACCAACUCGCUUGUUGCACUUGGCACGCCAUGUGCGUGUUUUUUUUUAGCGAGACCCAAAGAGAUCACUGGGAAAAAAGACAGCUCAGUUCCCAGUCCUUUGAAUUAGAUAAAUAUAUUGAAAAGAAAAAAACUUCAGCGGAAAUUGUAUUAAGUAUGAUGUGAUCAGUUAAAUAUGAAGUAUACGUAUUCAUAAUAGUUAAGUUUUACAUUUUGUUUUAAAACAUGCUUCAUAACAUCAUUAUUAUUUUUUAACAAUAUCUCCCCCUUGCUAACAAUUAUUUCACUUACUACACCAUAAUAGCUUUUUCAGUGCCCAUGCAACCUUGUUGCAAUUAGUUUUUGCAUCACCACCCAGCGAGUAACGAGUAACCGUGGCGUAUCAUCUUACCUUUUGGGCCAACCUUGAACUGGCCAAGACAGAGGCCCUAAAUCUGGCUCUUUUCAGCUCUUCAGCCUUUCAGCUCUCCAGUGAGCCACAUGACGCGACUUGGCAGCAACUGCAGCUCAUCUCGGUUCAGUUCGGGCAGACUUCCGUGUAAUUAAGUGGCGUUCACAAUGCGCUCCACCACCCAUUGUGUGCUGGAUUUCAGACAGAACCAGGAUCCUCCCUUCACCAGCCCCAUCUCCUUGGCCAUGAUCUCGUGCCCCACAGAUGGCCCCACAAGCAAAUUCUUUGUGAAGGCCCAGACAAGCGAAUGCACAUGACUUCAACGAGGAGACGUCGUCGCAAACUGGAUUUGGGCGCCAGUUAGGCACAAUGGGUAGGAUGUCUCUAACGCAGAGUCUUCGAAGUUUAUAAUACACUGAAAUUUGGAAUAUUUAUGGUAUAUACAUAGUCUAAAUACAAAUAAGCUUAAAAUGUGAUGUAGCUCCUAAUAUUUG
Non-coding RNA from Drosophila melanogaster (fruit fly), 1515 nucleotides. The record is from Ensembl. NCBI's taxonomy places the organism in Eukaryota, Metazoa, Arthropoda, Insecta, Diptera, Drosophilidae.